UCUCUGAUGGUUCAGUGGUUAGGACACUGCAUUUUCACUGUGAGGGCCCAGGUUCAAUCCCUGGUCAGGGAA
Non-coding RNA from Dama dama (fallow deer), 72 nucleotides. The record is from the annotation of a RefSeq genome assembly. Lineage: Eukaryota; Metazoa; Chordata; Mammalia; Artiodactyla; Cervidae.